Molecule: ribosomal RNA, 929 nt
Filed under: uncultured bacterium
Lineage: Bacteria
Description: bacterial SSU rRNA
Rfam family: Bacterial small subunit ribosomal RNA
Source: RNAcentral
AGAGUUUGAUCAUGGCUCAGGACGAACGCUGGCGGCGUGCGUAAUACAUGCAAGUCGAGCGGACCGAAAGGAGAGCUCGCUCUCCUUUCAGUCAGCGGCGGACGGGUGAGUAACACGUGGGUAACCUGCCUGUAAGACCGGGAUAACUCGCGGAAACGCGAGCUAAUACCGGAUAGGUCCCGUGGCCGCAUGGCGACGGGAGGAAAGAUGGCGCGAGCUAUCGCUUACAGAUGGGCCCGCGGCGCAUUAGCUAGUUGGUGGGGUAACGGCCCACCAAGGCGACGAUGCGUAGCCGACCUGAGAGGGUGAUCGGCCACAUUGGGACUGAGACACGGCCCAAACUCCUACGGGAGGCAGCAGUAGGGAAUCUUCCGCAAUGGGCGAAAGCCUGACGGAGCAACGCCGCGUGAGCGAAGAAGGCCUUCGGGUCGUAAAGCUCUGUUGUCAGGGAAGAACAAGUACCGGAGUAACUGCCGGUACCUUGACGGUACCUGACCAGAAAGCCCCGGCUAACUACGUGCCAGCAGCCGCGGUAAUACGUAGGGGGCGAGCGUUGUCCGGAAUCAUUGGGCGUAAAGCGCGCGCAGGCGGUCCCUUAAGUCUGAUGUGAAAUCUUGCGGCUCAACCGCAAGAGGUCAUUGGAAACUGGGGGACUUGAGUGCAGGAGAGGGAAGCGGAAUUCCAUGUGUAGCGGUGAAAUGCGUAGAGAUAUGGAGGAACACCAGUGGCGAAGGCGGCUUCCUGGCCUGUAACUGACGCUCAGGCGCGAAAGCGUGGGGAGCAAACAGGAUUAGAUACCCUGGUAGUCCACGCCGUAAACGAUGAGUGCUAGGUGUUGGAGGGGUUUACCCUUCAGUGCUGGAGCUAACGCAUUAAGCACUCCGCCUGGGGAGUACGGCCGCAAGGCUGAAACUCAAAGGAAUUGACGG